CUGUUAAGAGAUGUUAAGGUGUACUUGCAUGCUGCUUAUGAAUGUUCUAUGAAUGCAUUAUGAAGGUGCCCUUAAUGAAAAGGGUUACCAUUUAUUUAUAGAAGUCUUAUCCUGGUCAUCGACUUAAGCUGAUCACCCACUGUUUAGGUUUAUAGUCAGAAGAAGACAAAGCAAUUCUGAUAGCAGCCGGUAAUAAUAAGCAAACUUUUCAUAUGUAACAAACUGAAGCCUUAAAGAUGCUCAGUCAAGCCCCUGUGUCACGCUGCUGUGUGGGGUGGUUUCGCCGCUAGUUGCCUGGAAACAGCAGAAUUCACAGACGUACAGAGACUUUGGAAUUAGGGUAAACAUUGAUAUUUGUAGGUGCGCUGCUCAUCAGGAGUUGAAUUGACCUGAUAUGGACUAAUUAAUUAUUAACGUUGGGUUAUCAGGGGCAAGCUUCAGUGGUCAGCGUAACAGUUAUCAGCCAUGGAAGUAUUUUUAGGUAUAGAUUUCUGCUGAAGACAGAUGACGUGACAGACAGAAAGACAUUUCGGGAAGCGAAAAGGCCGAAUUUGUGCUUCGUGUGCUGUGUAGUAAAACAGUGGAAUAUAAAACCUUAUUGAUCACUUGCCGAACUACAAAGACUGAGGAAAUCGCAGGACAAAGUGUGCGGCUCAGUAGCUGAGGCAUCUGGAGGACUGGGGCGGCCAGGCUGAGUACAUCUCCAACAAGAGUAAGGCCUUUAACCAUAAUGGUGCAUUCCAUUUGAACUGGGAAGUCAGAAUUUCAACUGGGACACCCCCUGAAGUCAGAGUUCCGGAAAGUCAGAAUUCAAUAUGGCUGCAGCCUUCAUCAGCAGAAGGAUAAGCUGUAGUUAUAUACUAUUUAUUAACACUAAUGUCUUAUUUUUGACUCAUUAAAUCGGUCAUAUACUCACAGUACUAUCCAGCUUUUAUCUAUGUGUUGUUAUGAUAUUUAUAUGUGCAAAAUACUGGGUAAUGUGUUGUCAUCAACUGGCUGUGCUAACAAUGAACCUGACUAGAACUGGUACUCAUAAAUGGUUUUCUGACUUCUUGGUUCUUGGUUAACUCUGGUCUGAUGUCAUUCCCAGCUCCAACCUCUGACAGCUCCAGGGUUGCUGGACACUAACUGAGCCUAAGCUUUCCUCAGUUGUAUGUCACUUUAGUAGACAACAUUUAUGCUACAAUAAUAUGUCUCUUAAGGGGGCAUUGGGCCAACAUAAAAAGAGGUUUGGUCGCCGUAGUGUGCAUUUUGUGGCUCGAGCAACAUUGUAUGUACGAGAGCCCCUGUUCUACGAUUUGCAGUUAUCCUGGUGGUCACAUGGUCUCUGGUAGCACUCUAGAAUCUACCCUUAUAUCAGAGGUGGGCAGUCUUAUCCAUAAAAAGUGUGAAUUGGUUGAAGAGUCCUCACACCUGCGUUUUAACAGCUGACCUAAAGGUUACCCCAAAAACCUGCACACACCGGCCCUUUGAGGUGGAGACUAGUCCCUGGUUUUAAAAGCCGUUCUCUGGGUUGCUGCUUUCCUUUAAAACUUAAGGGUGACCAAAAUUAAAGCCCGCAAUUUGACAUGCGGUUAGAUAUGUGAUGUAAGUGAAACAAUGGAGCGUUUAUCUUUGCUGGGCCGUUUCCAUGGACACAGGGAGGCCACACCCCCCAUCUGACUGUCAGUCAUGGUGCUGGGUUACCAAACAUCAUGCUCCAUACUGUAACCGGGGGGCAGUUGUAUGGGGUGACACAUCCGAUCAAGAGACCAUUUCUCGGAAGCCAUGACCUCGGAAGACAGGAAAUGUGACCUUUAUAUGGUUUAGUAAAUACCCUGUCUAUGGAGGAACAGUAGUUGAAUAAGUUUAGUACAUUUUAGGCCCUGUUGAAUGGGUUUAGUACAUUGUAGGCCCUGUUGAAUGGGUUUAGUACAUUUUAGGCCCUGUUGAAUGGGUUUAGUACAUUUUAGGCCCUGUUGAAUGGGUUUAGUACAUUUUAGGCCAUGCUGAAUGGGUUUAGUACAUUUUAGGCCCUGUUGAAUAGGUUUAGUACAUUUUAGGCCCUGUUGAAUGGGUUUAGUACAUUUUAGGCCCUGUUGAAUAGGUUUAGUACAUUUUAGGCCCUGCUGAAUGGGUUUAGUACAUUUUAGGCCCUGCUGAAUAGGUUUAGUACAUUUUAUGUCCUGUUCGGCUGGGAUUAGUUUUACUUAGGGUGGUUCGGUAUGACGUUUGUAAAGUGAUUUGACUGACUGAUUUGAAUGGGAUGAAAAACGUAAUUUAGCAUGUCCAUAAAGCAAAUAACAGAAUUUCCAUUUCUGGGUGAGCUAUCCCAUUAAAAUAGUAAACACAAUAAAAAGCAAAUCUUUUUUCCUUUCAACCAUACAGUAGCUUACAAAACGGUGUACUUAGUAGUGUUGUACUGCUCUACACCUACUAUAAACCAUGCUGCAGAUAAGGCUGUAAGUGUCGGUUGUUAGAUGUCUGUGGUUACCCCUUUACAGAUACGACCAGUUACCGAGAUGACAAGUCAAACUGGACUAAUAUUAGCGUGUUUGCUGAAAUACAGAAGCUCGCCUGAACACGGGCAGCAGCUAUUUUGACAGUCGCGACGGUGCCUUGGCAAACAAAAGGGGAGGGAGAUUAUGGAACGUUCGGGUUCUGCUGGACAUGAACCUGAGAAGAAACAGAGCAAAGGAAUGUUGUUUCUGGAUAGAAGUGCAAGUGCUUUGUACAACUUCAUGGAAACAGCAGCGUCUGCGCCUGUCCAAGCUGGCAAAGUCCGGCAUGAGCUCCUUCCCAGUGACAGGAAGCGAUGUUUGGGCAGAGCACAGAGACAACCACGUAACACAUCAUCGACAUGGUUAGGGGUCAAUGUACUCUGGUUGUUACAGCCCGAAACUGUCAGAUUCCAAUUCAGAUCAUGGGUGACAACCGCUUGACAGUGACCGCAUUCCCCUUUGUCUGUUCUCCACACCAUCCAUCUGUAACAUCACUUUAACUCAGAAAAGCAUUCAAAAUAAAAUGUUCUCUUUAUAAAUCACACUCUA
This is a long non-coding RNA of Brienomyrus brachyistius, 3029 nucleotides long. RefSeq lists it as uncharacterized. Lineage: Eukaryota; Metazoa; Chordata; Actinopteri; Osteoglossiformes; Mormyridae. The record is from RefSeq and is a predicted model, not a curated record. The transcript is spliced from 2 exons.